This 895-nucleotide ribosomal RNA is filed under the name uncultured bacterium. RNAcentral's name for it is "bacterial SSU rRNA". It matches the Rfam family "Bacterial small subunit ribosomal RNA", at positions 56 to 925 of the family's 1533-position model. The record is from RNAcentral.
UGCAAGUCGAGCGGCAGCGAGUUUUACACUGAAUUCUGGAAGCUUCUGGAUAAUAUAGAGGAUUUAUUCAAGAAUUUUGUGUAAAAUGUCGGCGAGCGGCGGACGGCUGAGUAACGCGUAGGAAUUUGCCCCAAAGAGAGGAAUAACUGCCCGAAAGGGUAGCUAAUGCCGCAUACGGUCUUCGGAUUAAAGCCUUCGGGCGCUUUGGGAGAAGCCUGCGUUGGAUUAGGUAGUUGGUAGGGUAAUGGCCUACCAAGCCGACGAUCCAUAGCUGGUCUGAGAGGAUGAUCAGCCAGACUGGAACUGAGACACGGUCCAGACUCCUACGGGAGGCAGCAGUGAGGAAUCUUCCACAAUGGGCGAAAGCCUGAUGGAGCAACGCCGCGUGAAGGAUGAAGGCCUUCGGGUUGUAAACUUCUUUUAUGAGUGAAGAAUAUGACGGUAACUCAUGAAUAAGCACCGGCUAACUACGUGCCAGCAGCCGCGGUCAUACGUAGGGUGCAAGCAUUAUCCGGAGUGACUGGGCGUAAAGAGUUGCGUAGGCGGUUUAAUAAGUGAAUAGUGAAACCUGGUGGCUCAACCAUACAGACUAUUAUUCAAACUGUUAAACUCGAGAAUGGUAGAGGUAACUGGAAUUUCUAGUGUAGGAGUGAAAUCCGUAGAUAUUAGAAGGAACACCGAUGGCGUAGGCAGGUUACUGGGCCAUUUCUGACGCUAAGGCACGAAAGCGUGGGGAGCGAACCGGAUUAGAUACCCGGGUAGUCCACGCCGUAAACGAUGGAUACUAGCUGUUGGAGGUAUCGACCCCUUCAGUAGCGAAGCUAACGCGUUAAGUAUCCCGCCUGUGGAGUACGGCCGCAAGGCUAAAACAUAAAGGAAUUGACGGGGACCCGCA